This 700-nucleotide ribosomal RNA is filed under the name Paraburkholderia kururiensis. RNAcentral describes it as "bacterial SSU rRNA". It matches the Rfam family "Bacterial small subunit ribosomal RNA", at positions 90 to 786 of the family's 1533-position model. The record is from RNAcentral. Lineage: Bacteria; Pseudomonadati; Pseudomonadota; Betaproteobacteria; Burkholderiales; Burkholderiaceae.
GGCGAGUGGCGAACGGGUGAGUAAUACAUCGGAACGUAUCCUGGAGUGGGGGAUAGCCCGGCGAAAGCCGGAUUAAUACCGCAUACGCUCUGAGGAGGAAAGCGGGGGACCUUCGGGCCUCGCGCUCAAGGGGCGGCCGAUGGCGGAUUAGGUAGUUGGUGGGGUAAAGGCCUACCAAGCCGACGAUCCGUAGCUGGUCUGAGAGGACGACCAGCCACACUGGGACUGAGACACGGCCCAGACUCCUACGGGAGGCAGCAGUGGGGAAUUUUGGACAAUGGGGGCAACCCUGAUCCAGCAAUGCCGCGUGUGUGAAGAAGGCCUUCGGGUUGUAAAGCACUUUUGUCCGGAAAGAAAUCAUCGGGGCUAAUAUCCCUGGUGGAUGACGGUACCGGAAGAAUAAGCACCGGCUAACUACGUGCCAGCAGCCGCGGUAAUACGUAGGGUGCGAGCGUUAAUCGGAAUUACUGGGCGUAAAGCGUGCGCAGGCGGUGCUGUAAGACCGAUGUGAAAUCCCCGGGCUUAACCUGGGAACUGCAUUGGUGACUGCAGCGCUGGAGUAUGGCAGAGGGGGGUGGAAUUCCACGUGUAGCAGUGAAAUGCGUAGAGAUGUGGAGGAACACCGAUGGCGAAGGCAGCCCCCUGGGCCAAUACUGACGCUCAUGCACGAAAGCGUGGGGAGCAAACAGGAUUAGAUACC